UGAAGAUGUCUGUAGAUAAAUUCAGAAAAGUUUAAUAAUUUCAUUAGGAAACUAACGGAAAAGGGAAUUUUUUAAAAUUUAAUGUUGGAAGGUAUGGCUAAGGAAGAGAAGGAGGGAGACAGGGUAGGCUGUUUUCAUGGUGCCAGAUCUGAAAGCACAUUUUAAGUCUGAGACUGGGAGAGGGACAGGAAAGUUUCAUAAUACAUGCUGAAGCUAAUGAGUUAAUUAGGAACAACUGAGUUAUUUUUGUUAACCACUGCAAGCCUCAUAAUUUUUAAACUCUGAAGUACUAGCAACUGUUGGCUGGUAUCUGGAAGAGUACUUUGUACCUGAACAGAUAAGAGAACAUUACUUUUCCAAAGUCCAGUUUGUGAUACUGACCAAGCAAAACUGAACCCCCAAACAGUCUUAAUGGAGCCUAUAUGUCCAUAUGGUGUUCUGCUGCUUUUCCUCAUCAAGUGGUAAAUAAGCUUCAAGGAGGGUGCCAUUUCUCUCCUCUGAGCUGCAUAUUGCAGACCUACAGAUCCAAGUUCGUUCUGGGAAGCUUGCUGUAUUAAAAUCAAGUCAUAUUCCAGGCCAGACAGCACCUCCAUCAGCUGUUGAGGGGCUUCUUCUAAAGAAUGGCUGGUCUCUGAUCACUUCCUUCAGGAUCUGCUGCAAGUGUCUCUUCUCUGGAGCUGUCUUCACAACUUCUUCAAAAGGGAAUGUCCCACAUGGGGAUUUAGUUUCAUACUUGGUGUUGCCCAACACUGAAUCAGUGGGUAAUAAAGAAGUGGAUGACUUUCUUUUCCAAUCUGCAGAACACAAGUCUCUAAAAAAUACUACAUUUCUCUAUUUUUGUUUUAAUUUUGACAAACAUAUACACAUAGAUACCCUCCUGACUACGGCCUAAAAUUAAGGAGAUACAUAUAUCUGAAGGUUAUUAGGAUUAUACAUCAUGCAGCACAGGACACUAGUGCCACAUCCUUCACUUAAAUUACCAUAUGACCAAAUUUCAAUCUAAGAACACCCAUUUUCAAAUUUAUUUGCAUAACUUAAAUUAUUUUGGUGUAAUCAGACACUGAGAGUUUGCUGGAUAUACACCAAAUAAAGCCAACCUUUAUCCUAGUGCCA
RNAcentral lists this long non-coding RNA (1113 nucleotides) under Parus major (Great Tit). RNAcentral's name for it is "lncRNA (ENSPMJG00000004911.1)". Lineage: Eukaryota; Metazoa; Chordata; Aves; Passeriformes; Paridae. The record is from RNAcentral.